This 333-nucleotide long non-coding RNA is filed under the name Elaeis guineensis (African oil palm). Its description in RNAcentral is "long non-coding RNA (EGUI_LNC082688)". The record is from RNAcentral. Lineage: Eukaryota; Viridiplantae; Streptophyta; Magnoliopsida; Arecales; Arecaceae.
UUAACAGUGUCUUACGAGGAGCUAGAAAUAUGCCAAUUACAGCUUGUAUUCCAAUGACAUUUUACCGUCUCGUGAAAUACUUUAAUAUGAGAUAUGUCCAAGUCUUAAGAUAUGUACAAAAGAAUCCAAAUAAUCUUUUUACUCCUCAUAUUACUAUUAAGAUUUCUGAAGAUCAAGUUAAAGCUAAUCAGCAUCGAGUAAUAACGUUCAACCUUCAAAGAGGCAUAUAUGAAGUGCUUAUGAGAAGAGCAAGCACAGGAUUAUGAGGUGGAGAAAAUUUUUAUACUAUUACUUUAACUGAAAGAAACUAUUCUUGUAGAAAGUAGAGCAUGU